Molecule: long non-coding RNA, 909 nt
Organism: Drosophila mojavensis
Lineage: Eukaryota; Metazoa; Arthropoda; Insecta; Diptera; Drosophilidae
Exons: 2
Source: RefSeq, a predicted model, not a curated record
UCCUUCGCUCGCAUCUCGUGACAGCAGACUCGUUCGCAUUGCCUUUCGGAUCUCAUGUGGACAUUGCGAACGCCUGGCAUUGUGCUAGGUUCUGGUCCGCUGUUGGCGCUGAUGCUCGGGCUAAGGUGAACGCUAUUUCAGUCAAGCUCCAGCAUCCGUACUAACCGGGAGCAGCCUUUCGCACGCGUUCCCGUUAUAUCAAGCGCGCGCACACACACAGAGCGCGUCCCGUUCGGCCAGUAAUUUUCUGUCUACGUAUCGCCGUGUAAAUCCCUCCGUGUCUGUCUAUCUGUGUGUCUGUGUAUGUGUGUGACAGUGCGUGCGUGCGUGCGUUUGAGACGUUCCGCGGCGCGACGCGUAUGUGUGCAUUGGUGUGUGUAAAUUUUUGGGCAAAGCCAAAGGAAACAGAAACAGUGGCCCCCAAGUGACAGGUGGAGCUAACGCGAACCGGUUCAAGCACAGCUCAAAGUCGCCGUUUUGCUAACCUUUACACUUGGCAGCAUUUCAUAACGCGAUUCAACCAAACCCAAAGUGAACUACUUCAAACAGCAUAGCGCCACUGGCAGAACUUUGCUAGCCACUCGUAGCUAGUUUGAACCGUGUUUUCCAAAAUCACACACACACAAACAGUAACGGCAGCAAGCGGAAAUCAACGAAAUUGUCGUCACUCCAAUCAAGUGGAAAUUUGAUUAAAGAAGAGAAAAGAAAAAACAAAAUUUAAUAAAUUUCAAAACUCAAUAGCCGAAUACCCAAAAAUAAAAAAAAAUAAAAUUGAAAAGAAAAGUGCGAGUGUAUCAAAAAGGUAACAGCAAAGGAAAUCAACACGCACGCACAUGAGCGCAUUUGUAGUUGUGCAAGAAUAAAAAAAGAAAGAAAAGAAACAGCAGCAAACGCAACAAACAUUAAAAA